UAAAUCCUGAGAUGUGCGCUAAGCUUAUAAUAUUCAACCUACAUUAUUGAUACGGGAUUUGCAACAACUAAAACAAUGUCAGGCUUCAGUAAUUCACUUUAUGUGGCAGGAGAAGGCAGCGAAUUAGUGAGCUUAACCCACCUGCGAGCCGCAGGUAUGAAUAUUUAAGUGAACGGCAUGUUGGGAAUAUA
Molecule: non-coding RNA, 191 nt
Filed under: Clostridium sp.
Lineage: Bacteria; Bacillati; Bacillota; Clostridia; Eubacteriales; Clostridiaceae
Also listed under: 1 other name
Description: 6S RNA
Rfam family: 6S / SsrS RNA
About the family: E. coli 6S RNA was the first non coding RNA to be sequenced, but its function was unknown until recently. It consists of 184 nucleotides that fold into an extended hairpin structure with a large single-stranded internal bulge.
Source: RNAcentral